UACGUAGGGGGCAAGCGUUGUCCGGAUUUACUGGGCGUAAAGGGAUGCGUAGGCGGACAUUUAAGUUCAGAUGUGAAAUACCCGAGCUUAACUUGGGUGCUGCAUUUGAAACUGGGUGUCUAGAGUGCAGGAGAGGUAAGUGGAAUUCCUAGUGUAGCGGUGAAAUGCGUAGAGAUUAGGAAGAACACCAGUGGCGAAGGCGACUUACUGGACUGUAACUGACGCUGAGGCAUGAAAGCGUGGGGAGCAAACAGG
This 255-nucleotide ribosomal RNA is filed under the name uncultured bacterium. RNAcentral's name for it is "partial 16S ribosomal RNA". It matches the Rfam family "Bacterial small subunit ribosomal RNA", at positions 524 to 776 of the family's 1533-position model. The record is from RNAcentral.